GGGUUGUGAGGUUAAGCGACUAAGCGUACACGGUGGAUGCCCUGGCAGUCAGAGGCGAUGAAGGACGUGCUAAUCUGCGAAAAGCGUCGGUAAGGUGAUAUGAACCGUUAUAGCCGGCGAUGUCCGAAUGGGGAAACCCAGUGCAAUUCGUUGCACUAUCGUUAACUGAAUACAUAGGUUAACGAGGCGAACCGGGGGAACUGAAACAUCUAAGUACCCCGAGGAAAAGAAAUCAACCGAGAUUCCCCCAGUAGCGGCGAGCGAACGGGGAGCAGCCCGGAGUCUGAAUCAGCUUGUGUGUUAGUGGAAGCGUCUGGAAAGUCGCAGGGUACAGGGUGAUACUCCCGUACACUAAAACGCACAGGCUGUGAACUCGAAGAGUAGGGCGGGACACGUGGUAUCCUGUCUGAAUAUGGGGGGACCAUCCUCCAAGGCUAAAUACUCCUGACUGACCGAUAGUGAACCAGUACCGUGAGGGAAAGGCGAAAAGAACCCCGGCGAGGGGAGUGAAAAAGAACCUGAAACCGUGUACGUACAAGCAGUAGGAGCCUCUUUAUGGGGUGACUGCGUACCUUUUGUAUAAUGGGUCAGCGACUUAUAUUCUGUAGCAAGGUUAACCGUAUAGGGGAGCCGCAGGGAAACCGAGUCUUAACUGGGCGUUAAGUUGCAGGGUAUAGACCCGAAACCCGGUGAUCUAGCCAUGGGCAGGUUGAAGGUUGGGUAACACUAACUGGAGGACCGAACCGACUAAUGUUGAAAAAUUAGCGGAUGACUUGUGGCUGGGGGUGAAAGGCCAAUCAAACCGGGAGAUAGCUGGUUCUCCCCGAAAGCUAUUUAGGUAGCGCCUCGUGAAUUCAUCUUCGGGGGUAGAGCACUGUUUCGGCUAGGGGGUCAUCCCGACUUACCAACCCGAUGCAAACUACGAAUACCGAAGAAUGUUAUCACGGGAGACACACGGCGGGUGCUAACGUCCGUCGUGAAGAGGGAAACAACCCAGACCGCCAGCUAAGGUCCCAAAGUCAUGGUUAAGUGGGAAACGAUGUGGGAAGGCCCAGACAGCCAGGAUGUUGGCUUAGAAGCAGCCAUCAUUUAAAGAAAGCGUAAUAGCUCACUGGUCGAGUCGGCCUGCGCGGAAGAUGUAACGGGGCUAAACCAUGCACCGAAGCUGCGGCAGCGACACUAUGUGUUGUUGGGUAGGGGAGCGUUCUGUAAGCCGUUGAAGGUGGCCUGUGAGGGUUGCUGGAGGUAUCAGAAGUGCGAAUGCUGACAUAAGUAACGAUAAUGCGGGUGAAAAACCCGCACGCCGGAAGACCAAGGGUUCCUGUCCAACGUUAAUCGGGGCAGGGUGAGUCGACCCCUAAGGCGAGGCCGAAAGGCGUAGUCGAUGGGAAACAGGUUAAUAUUCCUGUACUCGGUGUUACUGCGAAGGGGGGACGGAGAAGGCUAUGUUGGCCGGGCGACGGUUGUCCCGGUUUAAGCAUGUAGGCGGAUGUUCCAGGUAAAUCCGGAACGUUAUCAACGCUGAGGUGUGAUGACGAGGCACUACGGUGCUGAAGUGACAAAUGCCCUGCUUCCAGGAAAAGCCUCUAAGCAUCAGGUAACAUCAAAUCGUACCCCAAACCGACACAGGUGGUCAGGUAGAGAAUACCAAGGCGCUUGAGAGAACUCGGGUGAAGGAACUAGGCAAAAUGGUGCCGUAACUUCGGGAGAAGGCACGCUGAUAGGUAGGUGAAGUGGUUUACCCAUGGAGCUGAAAUCAGUCGAAGAUACCAGCUGGCUGCAACUGUUUAUUAAAAACACAGCACUGUGCAAACACGAAAGUGGACGUAUACGGUGUGACGCCUGCCCGGUGCCGGAAGGUUAAUUGAUGGGGUUAUCCGUAAGGAGAAGCUCUUGAUCGAAGCCCCGGUAAACGGCGGCCGUAACUAUAACGGUCCUAAGGUAGCGAAAUUCCUUGUCGGGUAAGUUCCGACCUGCACGAAUGGCGUAAUGAUGGCCAGGCUGUCUCCACCCGAGACUCAGUGAAAUUGAACUCGCUGUGAAGAUGCAGUGUACCCGCGGCAAGACGGAAAGACCCCGUGAACCUUUACUAUAGCUUGACACUGAACACUGGUCCUUGAUGUGUAGGAUAGGUGGGAGGCUUUGAAGCGUGGACGCCAGUCUGCGUGGAGCCAUCCUUGAAAUACCACCCUUUAAUGGCUGGUGUUCUAACGUGGGCCCGUUAUCCGGGUUGCGGACAGUGUCUGGUGGGUAGUUUGACUGGGGCGGUCUCCUCCUAAAGAGUAACGGAGGAGCACGAAGGUCAGCUAAUCCUGGUCGGACAUCAGGAGGUUAGUGCAAUGGCAUAAGCUGGCUUGACUGCGAGCGUGACGGCGCGAGCAGGUGCGAAAGCAGGUCAUAGUGAUCCGGUGGUUCUGAAUGGAAGGGCCAUCGCUCAACGGAUAAAAGGUACUCCGGGGAUAACAGGCUGAUACCGCCCAAGAGUUCAUAUCGACGGCGGUGUUUGGCACCUCGAUGUCGGCUCAUCACAUCCUGGGGCUGAAGUAGGUCCCAAGGGUAUGGCUGUUCGCCAUUUAAAGUGGUACGCGAGCUGGGUUUAGAACGUCGUGAGACAGUUCGGUCCCUAUCUGCCGUGGGCGCUGGAGAAUUGAGGGGGGCUGCUCCUAGUACGAGAGGACCGGAGUGGACGCAUCACUGGUGUUCGGGUUGUCAUGCCAAUGGCAUUGCCCGGUAGCUAAAUGCGGAAGAGAUAAGUGCUGAAAGCAUCUAAGCACGAAACUUGCCCCGAGAUGAGUUCUCCCUGACUCCUUGAGAGUCCUGAAGGAACGUUGAAGACGACGACGUUGAUAGGCCGGGUGUGUAAGCGCAGCGAUGCGUUGAGCUAACCGGUACUAAUGAACCGUGAGGCUUAACCUUACAACGCCGAAG
Molecule: ribosomal RNA, 2928 nt
Filed under: Klebsiella grimontii
Lineage: Bacteria; Pseudomonadati; Pseudomonadota; Gammaproteobacteria; Enterobacterales; Enterobacteriaceae
Description: 23S ribosomal RNA
Rfam family: Bacterial large subunit ribosomal RNA
Source: RNAcentral